RNAcentral lists this transfer RNA (70 nucleotides) under Hordeum vulgare. RNAcentral's name for it is "tRNA-OTHER". The record is from RNAcentral. Lineage: Eukaryota; Viridiplantae; Streptophyta; Magnoliopsida; Poales; Poaceae.
CGCAACGUAGCUUAGUGGUUGAGUGCCCGCUCCUCCACACGGGAGACCUGGGUUCGAACCCCCCUGGCGC